GUUCGGAGAUUUCACCGGUGAUUAUCAAGAGCCAAGUAAAAGUAAGAUAGCUUUAGUGAGGCAAGGUUGAAACUUCGCCGGGCAGAAGAUGACACAGACCUCCAGUCAGAAGCAGAGGAGGGGAGGCCAGUAAAAAGAAAAACCAGACCAAACCAGCGCUUCCUCUCGAGUCAGGAGGAGUCUGAUGAGGAGUCUGUAAAGCGAAAACCAGUCCUCCCUAAGGUGCCCUCCAUUCCACCUCUGCCGUCACUGUUGCAUGAUGCCAUUUCCUCAUCAGAUGAAAUAUCUCCGCCAGCUAGUCAACUUGCCUCUCUGCAGCCGUUUAACGCCCUUGGACCUCCUGAGUCGUCCUACCAUCUUCCCCCUCAGCCAUCUCGCCACCAUGGACCUCCUGAGCCAUCCUACCAUCUUCCUCCUCAGCCAUCUCGCCACCAUGGACCUCCUGAGCCAUCCUACCAUCUUCCCUCUCAAACGUCUCGCCACCAUGGAACUUCUGAGCCAUUCCAUCUUGCCCCUCAUGCUGCUUCUGAGAUGGACCUGCACUCUGCAUUACUACGAGAGAUCAUUGCCAAGCAGGAGGUGAUGUGUGAUAUGCAAAGAAAUCUGCUGCGGAUUGUUCAGGAUCUCUCUUCUACACCUACACCACAUGGACACCAAAUGGACGGAAGUUUCCUGCCGUUGAGGGAUGCUGAGGCUCUUUUGUCGCUGGACCGUGACAUUAAGACAAAGCCAGAGAAGAGAAAGGACUUGUGCUGACACUGGGCCUUGCUGGGGGCGUGACGCUUAAGGACACUGUGUGGAGGGUCAUGAAGAUGCUUCUUCAGAACGACUUGGCCUGCAAAAUCAAUUGGACAGGCCUCCAUGGCAAAACAUCAUCCCAGGGCCUAGAAGUCAAGAAUGUUGUUACAGAAGCCAUUCAGAUAAAUCCUGGAUGCAGAGAAUCUACGAACCAGGAGGUGGAGCAAUGGUUGAGGCGUUGGUUGUAUUUGGCUGGCGAUCGAGAGGGGGGUAGGAAGAGGAGAAGCACAGUCCUCCACCACCAGCGACCCACCAACACAUAGUCAGGCACACAUCAACACAAAGUCAGGCACACACACAUAUACAUUUCACUUUGGCCCGUUUCUGGCCACACUUUAAAGGGUUAGUUCACCCAAUAAUCAAAAUGAUGUAACUAAUAACUCACCCUCAUGUCGUUCCAAACCAGUGAGACCUCUGUUUAUUUUUGGAACACAGUUUAAGAU
RNA transcript from Carassius carassius (crucian carp), 1241 nucleotides. RefSeq lists it as uncharacterized. NCBI's taxonomy places the organism in Eukaryota, Metazoa, Chordata, Actinopteri, Cypriniformes, Cyprinidae. The transcript is spliced from 6 exons. The record is from RefSeq and is a predicted model, not a curated record.